Molecule: non-coding RNA, 565 nt
Filed under: Pongo abelii (Sumatran orangutan)
Lineage: Eukaryota; Metazoa; Chordata; Mammalia; Primates; Hominidae
Source: RNAcentral
UACUGCACUGUCAGUCAUCAAAAAGAUUUUUUGGCCUGGGUGUAGUGGCUCACACCUGCAAUCCUAGCAUUCUGGGACGCCAAGGAGGAUGGAUCAUUUGACGUCAGGAGUUUGAGAUCAGCCUAGCCAACAUGGUGAAACACUGACUCUACUGAAAAUGCAAAAAUUAGUUGGGCGAGGUGCUGUGUUCCUGUAAUCCCAGCUACUUCGGAGGCUGAAGCAGAAGAAUUGCUUGAACCCAGGAGGCAGAGGUUGCAUUGAGCCAAGGUCACACCAAACUCCGUGUCAAGCCAACGGUGGCUUGUUUCUAUUUGCAAGCCCUCAACCAUUGAGCAUCUCCACUCUCUUCUCAGGUUCCUCCCAUCUCUCUGAAGCUAUAAUUCCAUUGUCACUUCCUCUAGCUAGCAACACGGGGACUGCCCACCAUGCCCUAACUCCUCCUUGUGCUUUUGGCCUUCGCGUAAGAGUUCCCUGGAGUUUGUUCACAGCAUCUGUUGCCAUCUGAAGUGUCAUCUUCCCCGUUAUAUCCCCAGUGCCUAGAAUUACGUCUGGUGCACUCAACCAG